GACGAACGCUGGCGGCGUGCUUAACACAUGCAAGUAGAACGCUGAAGGAGGAGCUUGCUUCUCCGGUUGAGUUGCGAACGGGUGAGUAACGCGUAGGUAACCUGCCUGGUAGCGGGGGAUAACUAUUGGAAACGAUAGCUAAUACCGCAUAACAGUAGAUACCGCAUGAUGUCUGCUUGAAAGGUGCAAUUGCAUGACUACCAGAUCGACCUGCGUUGUAUUAGAUAGUUGGUGUGGUAACGGCUCACCCAGGCGGCGAUACAUAGCCGACCUGAGAGGGGGAUCGGCCACACUGGGACUGGAACACGGCCCAGACUACUGCGAGAGGGAGCAGUAGGGAAUCUUCGGCAAUGGACGGAAGUCUGACCGAGCAACGCCGCGUGAGAGAAGAAGGUUUUCGGAUCGGAAAGCUCUGUUGGGAGAUAAGAACGUAUGUGAGAGUGGAAAGUGCACACUGUGACGGUAUCUUACCAGAAAGGGACGGCUAACUACGU
RNAcentral lists this ribosomal RNA (494 nucleotides) under uncultured bacterium. RNAcentral describes it as "partial 16S ribosomal RNA". It matches the Rfam family "Bacterial small subunit ribosomal RNA", at positions 28 to 506 of the family's 1533-position model. The record is from RNAcentral.